ACCUUGCACGUAACAGAGGAAAACUAGAAUAACGUGACGGAGGAGCAUCUCCCAUAAGAUCUUCGCCUAAAAAGGUAACCAAUCGAACCCUUAAAUUGAGAAUUCAAUUAAAACGAGCAAAAUCCUAUUUCAACAGAAUGAACGACAACAAGAUGAAAGCUUGCAGAAACAGAAGGAGAUAACGACAAAACUUACACAACAAUUGUACAAUCGACGCAACGAGCAAUGAAAGAAUUCCCGGUUAACACAGUAAUGAUUAUAAAAGUGAGUCAAAAGAUAAAGAAGGAAAAGGAAAAAAAAGAAAAAUAAUAAGGAAACAGGAGAGGAACGAUGGAAUUAAUUCAAAAUAAAUUAAGUUAACCACCAAC
RNAcentral lists this long non-coding RNA (368 nucleotides) under Gossypium raimondii (Peruvian cotton). RNAcentral describes it as "long non-coding RNA (GRAI_LNC004286)". The record is from RNAcentral. Lineage: Eukaryota; Viridiplantae; Streptophyta; Magnoliopsida; Malvales; Malvaceae.